CGGUUGAUCCUGCCGGAGGCUACCGCUAUGGGAGUCGGAUUAAGCCAUGCUAGCGGAGGGCAGUUCGGCUGCCCCGCGAAUAGCUCAGUAACACGUGGCCAAUCUACCCUUGAGAUCGGAACAACCCCGGGAAACUGGGGAUAAUUCCGGAUAGACGGGGGUUCUGGAAAUGUCUCUCGUCGAAAAGCUCAGGCGCUCAAGGAUGAGGCUGCGGCCUAUUAGGUAGUUGGUGAUGUAAAGGAUCACCAAGCCGAAGAUGGGUACGGGCCCUGAGAGGGGGAGCCCGGAUAUGGAGACUGAGACAAGGCUCCAGGCCCUACGGGGCGCAGCAGGUGCGAAAAUUCUGCAAUGCGUGCGAGCGCGACAGAGUGACUCCCAGUGCCGGUGGUCUAGCGACCGUCGGCUUUUUCGGAGUGUAAACUGCUCCGAGCAAUAAGGGCCGGGUAAGACUGGUGCCAGCCGCCGCGGUAACACCAGCGGCUCGAGUGGUAGCCGAUUUU
Molecule: ribosomal RNA, 500 nt
Filed under: uncultured candidate division MSBL1 archaeon
Lineage: Archaea; Methanobacteriati; Methanobacteriota
Description: bacterial SSU rRNA
Rfam family: Archaeal small subunit ribosomal RNA
Source: RNAcentral